Molecule: long non-coding RNA, 382 nt
Organism: Microtus ochrogaster (prairie vole)
Lineage: Eukaryota; Metazoa; Chordata; Mammalia; Rodentia; Cricetidae
Gene: Ptprd
Exons: 6
Source: RefSeq, a predicted model, not a curated record
AGGCUUGGACUUCUGGACUGUCUGCUGACUUCAACUGUCUGGUCUCAGGGUGGUGAACCUGUGUUUGAACGCCUAACCUCUGAGUUGAUGAUGAUGGUACCUGUCCAUUAACUGAACAACUGAGGUUUUGAAUAAUCUGAGGCCAGGAACUGUUUCUGAAACGACCUACAGGGCCCGUACAUGGGAGAAGUCUGGUGAGCACCCGGGGGAUCUAAAUAGCAAGCUCUGAACGGGUUCCAGCUGAAGUUUCUGAGCAGACCAGUCGCUGCAGCUCCCUAGGCUGAGUUUCCAAGCUGCCGGUGCAUGCCAUUGACAAGCUGCAGGAUGGUGCCCGUGGCCAGGCCGCCGCUGCUGCUUAUCGCCUUCUUCUUCUGCGCCUGUG